CACGUUGUAACACCGGUUCUCGUACGAUCACCGAAGUUAAGCCCUAUCACGUCUGGUCAGUAAUUAGAUGGGUGACCAGUUGGGAAUACUAAGUGCUGUAAG
Molecule: non-coding RNA, 102 nt
Organism: Acanthosepion pharaonis
Lineage: Eukaryota; Metazoa; Mollusca; Cephalopoda; Sepiida; Sepiidae
Source: the annotation of a GenBank genome assembly